UACGUAGGGCGCAAGCGUUGUCCGGAAUUAUUGGGCGUAAAGAGCUCGUAGGCGGUCUGUCGCGUCGGCUGUGAAAGCCCGGGGCUCAACCCCGGGUCUGCAGUCGAUACGGGCAGGCUAGAGUGCGGUAGGGGAGACUGGAAUUCCUGGUGUAGCGGUGAAAUGCGCAGAUAUCAGGAGGAACACCGGUGGCGAAGGCGGGUCUCUGGGCCGUAACUGACGCUGAGGAGCGAAAGCGUGGGGAGCAAACAGG
Molecule: ribosomal RNA, 253 nt
Filed under: uncultured bacterium
Lineage: Bacteria
Description: partial 16S ribosomal RNA
Rfam family: Bacterial small subunit ribosomal RNA
Source: RNAcentral